Molecule: long non-coding RNA, 5176 nt
Filed under: Homo sapiens (human)
Lineage: Eukaryota; Metazoa; Chordata; Mammalia; Primates; Hominidae
Description: HSALNT0385880
Source: RNAcentral
AGCCACUGUUAUGCAAAGUUCAAGGGCCUCUCUCACACUUAGCUGGGGGAGGAGUGAAUACAGCCUUUCUGAAGAAAGAAAAAUUAAGUAAUAGCAAAAUCAUUAAGUGUUUAUGAUUCAUAAAUACAGUUUUUGUCAACUAAAAAAAUAAAAUAUGUAGAAGUCAAAAAAGUGUCUAUGAUUCAGAAAUGCCACCGUUAGAAGUUGCCAUAAGAGUGCACACAAAAAGGACAUAUGGGUCAAAGUGUUUGCAGCAGUGUUGUCCCAAAUAAGGACAUUUUGCAACAUUGUGGGGUGGUUAAAAUAACUAUAGAAUAUGCAUUAGAAUACAAUGAAACCAUUAAACAUAAUGUGGAAGAAUAUUGUAUAUUAUAGGGAAAUGCUCAUAAUAUAUAGUGACAAUUUAAAAAGCAGAUUACAAAACAAUAUGCCAAGACAUGAUUUCUGCCCAAGUCUGCCCUGAUGGGUGAGCUAACCAAGGUUGCUGCACUGUGAGGGCAUAGGGGCUGCCCCUCAGCCCCCACCCCAGCCACUGGGCUCCUCAGGAAAGGACACGUGAGUGUUUACUGCACAUCCUACAGAUGAGGAGCUCACAAGGACCCUGGAUGGGGGAGUCCUCUGAGGUUGCUGGAGCUGCUGCAGCCAUCUUGUCACUGCCAGGGGAGAGCUCUCUCUGAGAGCGAAGGCACAGUGGAGGAAAGCAGAACUAAGAAGAGACAGAGAAAGCGAAAGUGGGAGAGAGAGAGAGAUAUGAGGUGACAAGUGUGGGUCCUUGGAUCCUGCUUGGUGUAAAGCUAGCCUGCUCCUGGACUUUACAGAUAAUAAAUUCCUUCCUCAUCAGAUUAACCUGGGUUUUUGUGGCUUGUAACCAAAAGGGUCUGCACGGCCCACACACAGGCUCCCAGCUCAUUUCCUUUGCAAUGAGUGGUAACUGGAGGCGGGCGGUGCAUGGACCUGCCUUGCAAGGCUUCUCUGUUAGUGGUGCCUGGAGCCCACUCUCUCAGCUGGCACAGCCAGUGUGACACAUCAGUCCGGGUGUGUCCUGGACCUACCCCCUUUCUGGGUGCAAACCAGAACUGAGGAUGCCGAGGGUGGUGGGGGGGUAGUUUCCUGCCUCAGGGCUGUGCUCCUGCUACCUCUUUGCCUAAAAUUCUCCCCUCUCUGUGCUCCCAGGGCCAGCUCCUUUGUAUGCUCUGUGAUUCUUUGAACAGCGCCCCCUCUGAGAAGCCUUCCCUGACCACCUGGCUGAGGACAUCAUUCUGUCCCAGCUUCCAUUUGCUUUGGGAGUGGCCUCCUGACACUUCACUUCCGUGAGGCAGGGACCAGUUCUGUCCUGGUCACUGCUGUAUCCCCAGCUCUAGAUAAGGCCUGAGACAUCGUAGGAGUGCCAGGGAUCUUUGGUUACUGAGAAAACGAGCAGCUAGAUCAAGGUUCCCAACACCAACACGCUGGGGACAUGUUGGGAGUCAACUUAGCCCUACCAGCAGGUGGAACUAGUUUUGCUGCUCCAAAACAGAGUUCUAGCUAUGGGGACAGCCACUAGAGAGCAGAGCUAAGUCCAUGCUAUGCUGAGGGGCCACAGUCUGCCCUGAACUGUGCCUCCCAGCCUGGAGCUAGUGAGGGGGCCGAGCCUGGGAGCUGACAGAUGAGGGCUCGGCGUGGGGACUUUUGGAGGGGAGGGCAUUUUCUUGAUCUUACCAUGGGGGCAACAGCUAGAUGGGUAGGGGGGGACCCACUCAAGGACAUACUGCGGCUUCAGGCUUCGACCAGCCCAGAACGCUCGCUCCAUCUGAGGGUCUUGAUAUCAGGGUGUGGCGUCAGGAGCCGGAGCCUACGGGUUGAAAGCCAAGAGUGGGCAAUCAAAGCUGAAACCAGGCCCACGACUUAGGAGCUGGAGAGCACACAGGGCUGAACACUCGAGUUGGUGACCAGGAAACCAGGGAGCAAAGUCUCCAGGGUGCUUGGGCAAGACCCCAGAUGGUCUGCAGCAACGCACGGGCAACACGGGAUGAUCAGCGCUACGUGGUGAGAAACUUACCUCCUUUUGCAGGACAACAUUUUCCAGUCCUUCUGAGUAAAUCAAAGAGAAGUCUCAGCUUGGUGAUUGCAGGUCUCUAAUGCUUAUUUCUCUGUCUCUGUCUCUCUCUCUUUUAACAAAAGUCUACCAGCGGCCUCAGGCUCAGGGCCUGUCUCAGGUAAAAGCGGGUUAGGGUGUAAUAACAGUGAUCGGUUUCAUUGUGUUUAUUUUUGUAGCUACUUUCUAAUUAUAGCAAGUGAUUCUGAGUUUCCAUUUAGGAUAGUAAUAGGAAGUUUCUUUUUCAAGUAAAUGUGCAUAAGUAAAAGGAGACUGCUCAAAGGAAAACAGCUGGUGAUUGAUAGAACAGGCUGUGGCAUUGUUGGGCCCCAGAGGGAAGGGCUGUGUGAGCAUGCAGGAAAUUCUGGGAAGGCAGCUAAAUGCAGUUGCUGCAUGGGGGCCAGGAAGCAUUUGGAGACGUGGCUGGGCACAGCUUGGCUUUUGAGCCCAAGAGAGGCCUGCUGGGGAUGUGUUGGGAGCCAACCUACCCCUACCAGCAGGUGGAACUGGUUUUGCCACUCCAAAACAGAGUUCCAGCUAUGGGGACAGCCACUAGAGAGCAGAGCUAAGGGCAUUCUAGGCCAAGGGGUCACAGUCCACCCUGAACUGUGCCUCCCAGCCUGAAGCCAGAAAGCUCAGGGAGGCUAGCGGCCCUGCCCAGGCCUCAGCACUGACCCUGCACCCCUAGGCCCAGCUGGAUGACCCCUAAGAGCUUCCUGGAAUUUGGAUGCAGGGUUAUUCUGUGUGUGCUGCCUCUCAGAGCAUGUCACUUUGACGUGGACAUCUCGGGUCUGGUUCUGGUGCUGUCCCUGUCUCGCCACGUGACCCUGGAUAAGUCAUCUCUCCAGGCCUUGAUUUCCCCAUCUGUAAACAGAGGUGAGUGAAAUGAUCUUUAAAGGCGUGUCAGUCCAUUUUGCAUUGCUAUAAAGGAAUACCUGAGGUUGGGUAGCUUAUAAAGAAAAGAGGGUUAUUUGGCUCACAGUUGUGCAGGUUGUACAGAAGCAUGGCACCAGCAUUGCUUCUUGUGAAGCUUCAGGAAGCUUCCACUUAUGGUGGAAGGGGAAGGGGGAGUUCGUGACUUACAUGGCAAGAGAGGGAGCAAGAGCCAUGUCAGGCUCUUCUAAACAACCAGCUCUCAUGUAAACUAACAGAGUGAGAACUCAUUCAUUACCACGGGGAGGGCACCAAGCCAUCCAUGAGGGACCUGCCCCCAUGAGCCAAACAUCUCCCACCAGGCCACACCUUCAACACUGGGAGUCACAUUCAGCAUGAGAUUUGGAGGUGACCACCAUGCAUCCAAACCAUAUCAAGGACCCAUUUCGGUGAGGGGACCAGGAACAUAUCCCUUCCCCUCUCCUCCACAUCCUUUAAUGUGGAGUUCAGCAAGGAAAGUAGGGCUUGGGUCAAAUUAAAGCCUGGUCUUAAUUUCCUGGUCCAGUUAUUAGCUGUGUAACCCUGGGCAAGUCACUUAACCCCCUCAGGUUACAAUGUUACAAAUGAUCACAUUUUCCUCAACUGAAAAAUGGGAUAGGAACAUGUCCCAAGCAGAGCUGGAGUGACGGUGCUAUCAAUGGCCCGGCAGUGCCUGGUCACACAGUAGGCCUGGGGAGCCCUGACUUUUACCGCACAGGGAGCUGCUUGCAGAGCUUGUUUUCAAUUGUGGGCUUGGCAGGGAACUGCCGGCAUCCCAGGGGACAGGGUCUCAUGAGGAUGCCUAAUCCCAGCUCAAAGUGGAGACCCCAGGACUCCAUCACAGCCAGUGGGGGGGAGUGGCUGCUGCAGCAGGGAGGGCUUCAUUGGAAUGAACCCCUUUAAGCUCCAGUCCAAAUGCCCAGAGUGGUUUUGCAGGUAUGGUUGUGAGGCUGGCAUGGUAGUCCCAUCUGCAGUCCCCUGGGAUGAGGCACCUGUAUGGUAGAGGGCCCGGGUGGAGAGAAGAGAAGGAUGGGGAUGAACCCAGGACCACAGAUGGCCCAGUUCCAUGGAUGAUUUUCAUUGAGGUGCCUUCAAGUCAGUUCAACACUGGGCUUCUCAACCUUUGAGGUAUGCAGGUAAGAGUCACCUGCGGCAGUGGGGGAUGCUCUUGUUAAAGUGCAGACUCCGAUUAAGCAGGUCUAGGGUGGGGCCUGAAAUUCUGUGUUCCUAACAAGGCUCCAUCCUGGGUAUGGAGGUCAGGUACCCCCUCACCUCUCCUGUGGACCCAGCUUUUGAGGGGUCAGGAGAAGAAUGUUCAGUCCCAGCUGCCACCACUCUAAAGUCCCCUAGAAACAAGGACUAAUACAGGUGGCGUGGGAGAGGGCCCAGGCAAACAGGGAGGUGGGGUACCCCGGUGGGGCUGCAGUGGGCCCUGCGGAAAGCUUGCUGGAGGUGGGGGCCUAAGGAAUUCAAGGACUUGUUCCAGGAACCCAAGGAACGAGUGGGCUCUAACUGCUGCAGCAUAUGGGAGAUGCCAGGAGGAGCUGGCUGUGGCAGGCCAUCCCAGUCCAUCAGACAACUUGUAGUGGAUGAAGAUGCAGUGUCCAUGGCCAGAAGAAACUCCCGUGGAUGCUCAGGCCAAGGCUGCCAGAAGCACGAGGAGGGGCAGCAUUGAGUGUCAUCGGGAAAAGGCAAAGUGAUGGUCCUGAAGCUGCCCCAUGUGGCCAGUCCCUUUUUGGGAAGCCUGAAUAAAUCCAUUUCCUGUGCACUGUGUGGGAAGCCAACCCCUCUUCAGAGCACCUCUGAACUCAACAGGAUCCUACACUUCUUAUAGGCCUGGCUUGAUGCUGACAUCCUUCAGCCCCAGGGAAGACCUAAAGAUCUCCAGGUCUUGAGGCACCUGGAACACCUCCACCUGAGACCACUUUAACAUGAUUUCUCUGCUUGAGGGAUUUUGGACCAUGCUGUGUGUAUUCAGCCCUAAAACAUGGGCGAGUGCCCGCUUGCAGUUCAAAUUCUCAGAGGAAGUUCCCUGUACUCCACCCAGUGCCAAGUUUAGUUUGUGCAAAUUUCCUUAAUGUCCCCUCCUGUACAACAGGCUUAUUUGGUGUUAACCCUCAUAUCGGGGGUCUAACUCUUUGCUUUUCCAGCUUUUGUGCUGGAAUAUCCCAUUAAACUGUCCAUGUUGGG